This 685-nucleotide ribosomal RNA is filed under the name uncultured Bacteroidota bacterium. RNAcentral describes it as "bacterial SSU rRNA". It matches the Rfam family "Bacterial small subunit ribosomal RNA", at positions 8 to 692 of the family's 1533-position model. Lineage: Bacteria; Pseudomonadati; Bacteroidota. The record is from RNAcentral.
AGAGUUUAUCCUGGCUCAGGAUGAACGCUAGCGGCAGGCCUAAUACAUGCAAGUCGAGGGGCAGCAGGAUAGCAAUAUCGCUGGCGACCGGCGCACGGGUGCGUAACACGUAUACAAUCUGCCUUUAACAGGGGGAUAGCCCGGAGAAAUCCGGAUUAAUACCCCAUAACAGAUCGAAUGGCAUCAUUUGAUUUUGAAAGCUCCGGCGGUUAAAGAUGAGUAUGCGUCUGAUUAGCUAGUUGGUGAGGUAACGGCUCACCAAGGCGACGAUCAGUAGGGGAUCUGAGAGGAUUAACCCCCACACGGAUACUGAGACACGGAUCCGACUCCUACGGGAGGCAGCAGUAAGGAAUAUUGGACAAUGCCCGCAAGGGUGAUCCAGCCAUGCCGCGUGCAGGAAGACGGCCCUAUGGGUUGUAAACUGCUUUUAUACCGGAGAAAACCUCUUCUCGUGAGAAGAGCUGAUAGUAUGGUAAGAAUAAGCAUCGGCUAACUUCGUGCCAGCAGCCGCGGUAAGACGAAGGAUGCAAGCGUUAUCCGGAUUCAUUGGGUUUAAAGGGAGCGUAUGUGGCCUUAUAAGUCAGUGGUGAAAUCUCGCAGCUUAACUGCGAAAUUGCCAUUGAUACUGUAGGGCUUGAGUAUAGUUGCCGUUGGCGGAAUAUGACAUGUAGUGGUGAAUUACAUA